CCAGGAUAAAAAUUAACUUCAUCUGGAACCAGAGAGCUGGAGUGGAACCGACAGCCUCUCUGCUCAGAGGAACGUUUCCUGCUGAGGCUGCUCCUUCAGCUGCAAACAGGAAAUGGAAAAGUUUGUGGCCAGAAACCAAAGAAGCCAUGAAACUGAAAACACAGGAAACUCCUGACCACUAAAAUCAGAAGGUCUGAGGUAAAAACUCUUCGUCCAAACAGUCUAGACCCUCGGCUGCUGAGAAACUUUACUUCCUGGAUGCGGAGACUGAGGUUUGGAACGAUUUGGUCUGAUUUUACCGGAUCGCUGGUAAAGCCUCACGGAGGCUCCUCCUCUGCUGGGUUAGGGUAAACCGCUGACUGUCCGUUAGCUGUGACAGAGUAAUGCUACAGCUGCCCCAUGAAGGAAGCUAUGCUAUGAAGCUAACACAAAGCUACAUUACUAAGCUAACGGGUAAACAGACGUCCCCCACUGCAAAGAGAGAAGAGCUGAACAUCUUUGCCAGGAAUAAAAUGUCUGAAACAUUCUGACUUUAACUCAUUGGCCUGGAGGAAUCCAGCUCAAUGGGAGAAAUCCCUGCCUGAGCACUGAAGGCAGAUGAGAAUCAAGAACGACCAGAAUAGAUUUAUGCUAAAUGCAAUAAUUAAAUAUUGAACAAAAGAGAA
This is a non-coding RNA of Poecilia reticulata (guppy), 665 nucleotides long. The record is from RefSeq and is a predicted model, not a curated record. Lineage: Eukaryota; Metazoa; Chordata; Actinopteri; Cyprinodontiformes; Poeciliidae.